RNAcentral lists this ribosomal RNA (492 nucleotides) under uncultured bacterium. RNAcentral describes it as "partial 16S ribosomal RNA". It matches the Rfam family "Bacterial small subunit ribosomal RNA", at positions 30 to 507 of the family's 1533-position model. The record is from RNAcentral.
AUUGAACGCUGGCGGCAUGCUUUACACAUGCAAGUCGAACGGUAACAGGCCUUCGGGUGCUGACGAGUGGCGAACGGGUGAGUAAUGCAUCGGAACGUACCCAGAGGUGGGGGAUAACGCAGCGAAAGCUGUGCUAAUACCGCAUGUGAUCUGAGGAUGAAAGCGGGGGACCGAGCAGCAAUGUUUGGCCUCGCGCCUUUGGAGCGGCCGAUGUCGGAUUAGCUAGUUGGUGGGGUAAAGGCCUACCAAGGCGACGAUCCGUAGCUGGUCUGAGAGGACGACCAGCCACACUGGGACUUAGACACGGCCCAGACUCCUACGGGAGGCAGCAGUGGGGAAUUUUGGACAAUGGGCGCAAGCCUGAUCCAGCAAUGCCGCGUGCGGGAAGAAGGCCUUCGGGUUGUAAACCGCUUUUGGCAGGAACGAAACGGUGUCCGCUAAUACCGGGCGCUAAUGACGGUACCUGCAGAAUAAGCACCGGCUAACUACGUG